RNAcentral lists this ribosomal RNA (238 nucleotides) under uncultured bacterium. RNAcentral's name for it is "partial 16S ribosomal RNA". It matches the Rfam family "Bacterial small subunit ribosomal RNA", at positions 101 to 339 of the family's 1533-position model. The record is from RNAcentral.
AACGGGUGAGUAACACGUGAAUAACCUGCCCUUCAGUUGGGGAUAACAUUUCUAACGAGAUGCUAAUACCGAAUAUCGUAAUCAUUCGCAUGUUUGAUUACAAAAGGCUUCGGCCGUUGAAGGAUGGAUUCGCGUCUGAUUAGCUAGUUGGUGAGGUAAUGGCUCACCAAGGCAACGAUCAGUAGCCGGCCUGAGAGGGUGAUCGGCCACAUUGGGACUGAGAUACGGCCCAGACUCC